AGCUAACGUUGGCGGCGUGCCUAACACAUGCAAGUCGAACGCGCCGUAGCAAUACGGUGAGUGGCAGACGGGUGAGUAACACGUGGGUAAUCUCCCUCCGAGCGGGGAAUAAGCACUCGAAAGGGUGUCUAAUACCGCAUGAUGCCCUCAAACGAUAGUUUGAGGGCCAAAGCCGCAAGGCGCUUGGAGAUGAGCCUGCGUCCUAUUAGCUAGUUGGUAGGGUAAUGGCCUACCAAGGCUGAGAUGGGUAGCCGGCCUGAGAGGGUGAACGGCCACACUGGGACUGAGACACGGCCCAGACUCCUACGGGAGGCAG
This 316-nucleotide ribosomal RNA is filed under the name uncultured Nitrospirota bacterium. RNAcentral's name for it is "bacterial SSU rRNA". It matches the Rfam family "Bacterial small subunit ribosomal RNA", at positions 29 to 351 of the family's 1533-position model. The record is from RNAcentral. Lineage: Bacteria; Pseudomonadati; Nitrospirota.